CUGAACCUCCAGGACUUUCUUACUCUCAAGCUAGUCUACAUUUAGCCUCCAGAAAUUCAUGAAAAUUAUCAUUUAAAUGUUCUUACAGUGUUUGGCUCCAGCGGUUUCUGCUCCAGGAAUAUUAGCCCUGCACUAACAUCUACCACGAAUCCUCCUCUUUUUGCUGAGGAAGACUGGCCCUGAGCUAACAUCUGUGCCCAUCUUCCUCCAUUUUCUGUGGGACGCUUGCCACACCAUGACUCGACAAGUGGUGCAUAGGUCUGCACCAGUGAUCUCAACCGGCAAAUCCUGGGCCGCCGAAGUGGCAGUGAGCCAUUAUAGAGGCAGCGUGCACCCUAAGCAGCAAGAGUGGUGGCCGUUCAGCUCCUUCCCUGGGAACUACUCUCAGCAUCUCAGCAUCAAGCUGUCACAGCUUUGAACUGUGCCUGCACAAGUGACUAUGUGGCAGAGAUCCUCAGCUACAGAUUUGUUGUGGAUUAUAUGGCGGAGCACGUACAAGAGAGAACUUGAAUUUUUUGUAGGCCCAAAAAUAAGGCUGGGUAUUUUAAACCUCAAGGCAAACAAUUUAAAAAUUUCUCCUUUGUCAUUGACAAUUUGCAAAAUGAAAGAUCUCCCUGCCUUUCUGUAACUCAUGAAUUUAUUUAUUUAUUGAGAGAAAAAGUAGGAUUUGUAUAGUUUAUGGAGGAAAAUCAGAGCUAUAAUCCUAAAAUACAGAUGUGCAAAUAAUAAUCCUUCAUUUAGGUACAUGCUAUCUAAAAGAUAAAUUCACGACUCCAUAUUAAUAUGCACAAAAUAUGUCCCAAUGAAGCUUCAAUCUCCCCAACACACUCCACCCCCAACUAGCUCGAUACCCCAACCACGCGGACUUCAUCCUUCCCCAAAACACCCUUUUCAGCCUCCUGUCUUUGGACAUGAUGCUUCUUACACAAUAAAUUUUUCUUCUAAUU
This 947-nucleotide long non-coding RNA is filed under the name Equus caballus (horse). RNAcentral's name for it is "lncRNA (ENSECAG00000058312.1)". The record is from RNAcentral. Lineage: Eukaryota; Metazoa; Chordata; Mammalia; Perissodactyla; Equidae.